This 497-nucleotide ribosomal RNA is filed under the name uncultured bacterium. RNAcentral describes it as "partial 16S ribosomal RNA". It matches the Rfam family "Bacterial small subunit ribosomal RNA", at positions 28 to 507 of the family's 1533-position model. The record is from RNAcentral.
GAUGAACGCUGGCGGCGUGCCUAAUACAUGCAAGUCGAGCGAACAGACGAGGAGCUUGCUCCUCUGACGUUAGCGGCGGACGGGUGAGUAACACGUGGAUAACCUACCUAUAAGACUGGGAUAACUUCGGGAAACCGGAGCUAAUACCGGAUAAUAUAUUGAACCGCAUGGUUCAAUAGUGAAAGACGGUUUUGCUGUCACUUAUAGAUGGAUCCGCGCCGCAUUAGCUAGUUGGUAAGGUAACGGCUUACCAAGGCAACGAUGCGUAGCCGACCUGAGAGGGUGAUCGGCCACACUGGAACUGGGACACGGUCCAGACUCCUACGGGAGGCAGCAGUCGCGAAUCUUCCGCAAUGGGCGAAAGCCUGACGGAGCAACGCCGCGUGAGUGAUGAAGGUCUUCGGAUCGUAAAACUCUGUUAUUAGGGAAGAACAAAUGUGUAAGUAACUAUGCACGUCUUGACGGUACCUAAUCAGAAAGCCACGGCUAACUACGUG